GCUCUACCAUUUGAGCUACAUCCCCAAUUGAUUAUAAUCAUCCAUUGUUUAUAAUUG
This 57-nucleotide small RNA is filed under the name Arabidopsis thaliana (thale cress). Its description in RNAcentral is "ATSL080440". The record is from RNAcentral. Lineage: Eukaryota; Viridiplantae; Streptophyta; Magnoliopsida; Brassicales; Brassicaceae.